Molecule: transfer RNA, 56 nt
Filed under: Texcoconibacillus texcoconensis
Lineage: Bacteria; Bacillati; Bacillota; Bacilli; Caryophanales; Bacillaceae
Description: tRNA-Val
Rfam family: tRNA
About the family: Transfer RNA (tRNA) molecules are approximately 80 nucleotides in length. Their secondary structure includes four short double-helical elements and three loops (D, anti-codon, and T loops). Further hydrogen bonds mediate the characteristic L-shaped molecular structure. tRNAs have two regions of fundamental functional importance: the anti-codon, which is responsible for specific mRNA codon recognition, and the 3' end, to which the tRNAs corresponding amino acid is attached (by aminoacyl-tRNA synthetases). tRNAs cope with the degeneracy of the genetic code in two manners: having more than one tRNA (with a specific anti-codon) for a particular amino acid; and 'wobble' base-pairing, i.e. permitting non-standard base-pairing at the 3rd anti-codon position.
Source: RNAcentral
AGCUCAGCUGGGAGAGCACUUGCCUUACAAGCAAGGGGUCGGUGGUUCGAGCCCGC